This 769-nucleotide ribosomal RNA is filed under the name uncultured bacterium. Its description in RNAcentral is "bacterial SSU rRNA". It matches the Rfam family "Bacterial small subunit ribosomal RNA", at positions 723 to 1504 of the family's 1533-position model. The record is from RNAcentral.
AGCUUACUGAGCCGACACUGACGCUGAGGCACGAAAGCGUGGGGAUCGAACAGGAUUAGAUACCCUGGUAGUCCACGCCGUAAACGAUGAUUACUCGCUGUUGGCGAUACACUGUCAGCGGCUAAGCAAAAGCAAUAAGUAAUCCACCUGGGGAGUACGGCCGCAAGGUUGAAACUCAAAGGAAUUGACGGGGGCCCGCACAAGCGGAGGAACAUGUGGUUUAAUUCGAUGAUACGCGAGGAACCUUACCAGGGCUUAAAUGUAGAGUGCAUUUUUUAGAGAUAGAAAUUCCCUUCGGGGCUUUCUGCAAGGUGCUGCAUGGUUGUCGUCAGCUCGUGCCGUGAGGUGUCGGGUUAAGUCCCAUAACGAGCGCAACCCUUAUCGUUAGUUGCCAUCUGGUAAUGCAGGGGACUCUAGCGAAACUGCCACCGUAAGGUGAGAGGAAGGUGGGGAUGACGUCAAAUCAGCACGGCCCUUGUGUCCAGGGCUACACACGUGUUACAAUGGUCGGUACAGAGGGCAGCUACCUGGUGACAGGAUGCUAAUCUCGAAAACCGGUCUCAGUUCGGAUCGAAGUCUGCAACUCGACUUCGUGAAGCUGGAUUCGCUAGUAAUCGCGCAUCAGCUAUGGCGCGGUGAAUACGUUCCCGGGCCUUGUACACACCGCCCGUCAAGCCAUGGAAGCUGGGGGUGCCUGAAGUCCGUAACCGUAAGGAGCGGCCUAGGGUAAAACUAGUGACUGGGGCUAAGUCGUAACAAGGUAACCGUA